RNAcentral lists this ribosomal RNA (253 nucleotides) under uncultured bacterium. RNAcentral's name for it is "partial 16S ribosomal RNA". It matches the Rfam family "Bacterial small subunit ribosomal RNA", at positions 524 to 776 of the family's 1533-position model. The record is from RNAcentral.
UACGUAGGGUGCAAGCGUUGUCCGGAAUUAUUGGGCGUAAAGAGCUCGUAGGCGGUUUUUCGCGUCUGCUGUGAAAACUCGGGGCUCAACUCCGAGCUUGCAGUGGGUACGGGCAGACUAGAGUGCGGUAGGGGAGACUGGAAUUCCUGGUGUAGCGGUGGAAUGCGCAGAUAUCAGGAGGAACACCGGUGGCGAAGGCGGGUCUCUGGGCCGUAACUGACGCUGAGGAGCGAAAGCAUGGGGAGCGAACAGG